GGGUUUUCUAUUCUUGCUUUAUUUCAGAUAGAGAACUAAGAGGUGGACCUAGUACAAUGAAUUCUCUUUUUCUUUUUGAAAAAUAAUGCCACCUUACAAUUCGAAUCUGAACGCUCUCUACAGUACAUGCGCAAAGGGAAGACAUGCCAAUUGAGGGUCACAAUUGUAUUAGGCUGGAUUAUGUGGUGAUUGGAUCUGUCAACUGUCAAGAACUUAAUGACGAUUUCCUUUGUCAUCAUCUGUUUGUUUUCAGUUUUCUACAUUGAUUCAACUUUGCUUG
Molecule: long non-coding RNA, 280 nt
Filed under: Phoenix dactylifera (date palm)
Lineage: Eukaryota; Viridiplantae; Streptophyta; Magnoliopsida; Arecales; Arecaceae
Description: long non-coding RNA (PDAC_LNC016206)
Source: RNAcentral